This 460-nucleotide ribosomal RNA is filed under the name uncultured bacterium. RNAcentral describes it as "partial 16S ribosomal RNA". It matches the Rfam family "Bacterial small subunit ribosomal RNA", at positions 338 to 795 of the family's 1533-position model. The record is from RNAcentral.
CCUACGGGAGGCAGCAGUGAGGAAUAUUGGUCAAUGGACGAGAGUCUGAACCAGCCAAGUAGCGUGAAGGAUGACUGCCCUAUGGGUUGUAAACUUCUUUUAUAUGGGAAUAAAAUGUUCCACGUGUGGGAUUUUGUAUGUACCAUAUGAAUAAGGAUCGGCUAACUCCGUGCCAGCAGCCGCGGUAAUACGGAGGAUCCGAGCGUUAUCCGGAUUUAUUGGGUUUAAAGGGAGCGUCGGUGGAUUGUCCAGUCAGUUGUGCAAGUUUGCGGCUCAACCGUAAAAUUGCAGUUGAAACUGGCAGUCUGGAGUACAGUAGAGGUGGGCGGAAUUCGUGGUGUAGCGGUGAAAUGCUUAGAUAUCACGAAGAACUCCGAUUGCGAAGGCAGCUCACUGGACUGCAACUGACACUGAGGCUCGAAAGUGUGGGUAUCAAACAGGAUUAGAUACCCGAGUAGUC